RNAcentral lists this ribosomal RNA (244 nucleotides) under uncultured bacterium. RNAcentral's name for it is "partial 16S ribosomal RNA". It matches the Rfam family "Bacterial small subunit ribosomal RNA", at positions 522 to 758 of the family's 1533-position model. The record is from RNAcentral.
UAGCGGAGGGGGGCUAGCGUUGUUUCGGAAGUUACUGGGACGUAAAGCGGCACGGUAGGCGGCUUUGUAAAGUUAGAGGUGAAAAGCCCGGGGGCUCAACUCCGGAAUUGCCUUUAAGACUGCAUCGCUAGAAUUGUGGAGAGGUAAGUGGAAUUCCGAGUGUAGAGGUGAAAUUGUAGAUAUUGGAAGAACACCAGUGGCGAAGGCGACUUACUGGACACAUAUUGACGCUGAGGUGGCGAAA